Tachysurus fulvidraco (yellow catfish) is the source of this 550-nucleotide long non-coding RNA. RefSeq lists it as uncharacterized. The record is from RefSeq and is a predicted model, not a curated record. Lineage: Eukaryota; Metazoa; Chordata; Actinopteri; Siluriformes; Bagridae. The transcript has 3 exons.
AGCCCCUGCACCUUUCCUGGUCACAGGUUCCUGUUUCCCCUUGAUGAGCACCCUCACGUAUUGUAUAAACGUUUUUGUGUUUUAGUGUCAAAAACACGAGAACUUCUAUAAGAGUGCUCAUUAAAGUGAAAAGGGACACAGGUGAGGGUGACUGGGACAUGUGACUAGGAAACACGCCGGGGCUGAUGGGUAAUGUAGUUCAAGCACCAGAUGAUUCAGCGUAACCAUGACAAUCUUCGGUGUUUGUUUUUGUUUUUGUUUUUCUUUGGUUUUCUUAAACCGAAACUUAUGUUUAUAUCUGUUUACCUUUCAUGCAGCGUUCUCUAGUAAAGCUGAAGGACGAAGUGAAACCUGAGCGAUGUUUUUUACACCAUUCUAUUUGCACUGGAUAAGGGCAUCUGCCAAAUGCCAUAAAUCUAGAAUGGCCAUCAUUAAAGGAUUAGUGGUACAACAAUUCUGGACCAUUCAGAGAAGAUAAGGUAGCAGGUGAACCAGAACAUCUCUGACCUUGUUUUGGAACCAGGCUUCAGUCUCCUCUUGACUCUUCUGU